This 247-nucleotide ribosomal RNA is filed under the name uncultured Salinibacillus sp. RNAcentral describes it as "partial 16S ribosomal RNA". It matches the Rfam family "Bacterial small subunit ribosomal RNA", at positions 796 to 1041 of the family's 1533-position model. Lineage: Bacteria; Bacillati; Bacillota; Bacilli; Caryophanales; Bacillaceae. The record is from RNAcentral.
CACGCCGUAAACGAUGAGUGCUAGGUGUUAGGGGGUUUCCGCCCCUUAGUGCUGAAGUUAACGCAUUAAGCACUCCGCCUGGGGAGUACGGCCGCAAGGCUGAAACUCAAAGGAAUUGACGGGGGCCCGCACAAGCGGUGGAGCAUGUGGUUUAAUUCGAAGCAACGCGAAGAACCUUACCAGGUCUUGACAUCCUCUGCUACCUCUAGAGAUAGAGGGUUCCCUUCGGGGACAGAGUGACAGGUGG